GGGGUCGACUGGUUUUGACAGCAGGUCGAAUUGAACGAUAAGCAUGCCGAGAAUGGGGACAAUUUCUCGUUAAUCCAAAAGUCCCAACACUUUUACACGGCGAAAAUAACUACGCUUUAGCUGCUUAAUCCGAAUUAUAGUACGAUGAGCCACGUCUCUGCAAGGCAGGGAAGCUGGAUUCUCCUUGAAAGCCCUGGUCUGUGGCGUUCUUUAAAGGGGAACCGUAAAAAUAGACCUAGGGAUGUUGAAGCUUCGGCGCCAUCCUGACAACUAAGAAGCUAAGCAUCAGUCGGCUGUUCCUGGCCACAGCUGAUGACGAAAAUCCAAUCAGGAAAUAAGCAUGUAGAAAGUCCUUUGGUUGCCUGUUUGGACCCGGGUUCGAUUCCCGGCGACUCCACCU
RNAcentral lists this transfer-messenger RNA (400 nucleotides) under Flavobacterium pallidum. Its description in RNAcentral is "Standard tmRNA". It matches the Rfam family "transfer-messenger RNA". From Rfam's summary of the family: Bacterial tmRNA, also known as 10Sa RNA or SsrA, is named for its dual tRNA and mRNA-like properties. The record is from Rfam by way of RNAcentral. Lineage: Bacteria; Pseudomonadati; Bacteroidota; Flavobacteriia; Flavobacteriales; Flavobacteriaceae.